CCUACGGGAGGCAGCAGUGGGGAAUAUUGCACAAUGGGGGAAACCCUGAUGCAGCGACGCCGCGUGAGUGAAGAAGUAUUUCGGUAUGUAAAGCUCUAUCAGCAGGGAAGAAACCCACCCUCCGGGGUGGCUGACGGUACCUGACUAAGAAGCCCCGGCUAACUACGUGCCAGCAGCCGCGGUAAUACGUAGGGGGCAAGCGUUAUCCGGAUUUACUGGGUGUAAAGGGAGCGUAGGUGGCAAGGCAAGUCAGAUGUGAAAACCCGGGGCCCAACCCCGGGAGUGCAUUUGAAACUGUCUGGCUAGAGUGCAGGAGAGGUAAGUGGAAUUCCUAGUGUAGCGGUGAAAUGCAGAGAUAUUAGGAGGAACACCAGUGGCGAAGGCGGCUUAUUGGACUGUAACUGACACUGAGGCUCGAAAGCGUGGGGAGCAAACAGGAUUAGAUACCCCUGUAGUC
RNAcentral lists this ribosomal RNA (457 nucleotides) under uncultured bacterium. RNAcentral's name for it is "partial 16S ribosomal RNA". It matches the Rfam family "Bacterial small subunit ribosomal RNA", at positions 338 to 795 of the family's 1533-position model. The record is from RNAcentral.